Caenorhabditis elegans is the source of this 186-nucleotide non-coding RNA. The record is from Ensembl. NCBI's taxonomy places the organism in Eukaryota, Metazoa, Nematoda, Chromadorea, Rhabditida, Rhabditidae.
UUGAACUAUCUUAUUCUUUUCAUCAAUAAUUUCUUCCUGUAGUAACUUAUUUGAUUCUAGUAUGGGUUUGAAUACUUCUAUACGGUGAUCUUCUACGUUUUCUAAAUUGCUGCGCUCUUCUAAAUUCUUGAAUUUGUGUUCUUUUCUAUUCUUCAAGAAUGAUUGAACAAUUUCAUUCCUUUUCUU